CGAAUUGUAGUUUAGAGAAGUAUUUUCUGGGGUAGCUCGGGCAUAGGUCCUUUGGAAAGAGGCGUCAUAGAGGGUGAGAACCCCGUCUGUGGUCCGAAGUCUGCUCCUUUGUGAUAUACUUUCAAAGAGUCGAGUUGUUUGGGAAUGCAGCUCAAAAUGGGUGGUAAAUACCAUCUAAAGCUAAAUAUUGGCAAGAGACCGAUAGCGAACAAGUACCGUGAGGGAAAGAUGAAAAGAACUUUGAAAAGAGAGUUAAACAGUACGUGAAAUUGUCAAAAGGGAAACGCUUGAAAUCAGUGUUGCGACCAGUAAUCAGCCGUUCUUCGAACGGUGCACUUGCUGGAAGCAGGUCAACAUCAGUUUGAUCUGGAGUAAAAAGCUGUCGGAGCCAUCCUUGUGGUGGAACUGCAGUCAUGCUUUGGAUUGGACUGAGGACUGCUAACAGGAUGUUGACGAAAUGGUUUUAAACGACCCGUCUUGAAACACGGACCAAGGAGUCUAACAAAUAUGCGAGUAUUCGGGUG
This 524-nucleotide ribosomal RNA is filed under the name Nowakowskiella sp. JH HBR. RNAcentral describes it as "eukaryotic LSU rRNA". It matches the Rfam family "Eukaryotic large subunit ribosomal RNA", at positions 139 to 700 of the family's 3401-position model. Lineage: Eukaryota; Fungi; Chytridiomycota; Chytridiomycetes; Cladochytriales; Nowakowskiellaceae. The record is from RNAcentral.